This 603-nucleotide ribosomal RNA is filed under the name Panulirus versicolor (painted spiny lobster). RNAcentral describes it as "partial 12S ribosomal RNA". Lineage: Eukaryota; Metazoa; Arthropoda; Malacostraca; Decapoda; Palinuridae. The record is from RNAcentral.
CGGUUAGACUCGGAUUUCCGGUUAGACUCGGAUUUCUAGUAAAGGUGAGUAGGUGUAAAGGUUAAAUAAUUGGAGUUUGAUAGAGCUUACGCGUUCAAUAUAACAAUGAGUGAAACCUGUUUGUUAGUCUUUAAAAUUGAGCGUGAGCUUCGUUGGGCUUAUGUUGAGGCCUAGAAAAUUUAGGUAAGAACCAGGAUUAGAUACCCUGUUACUCUAAUAGGAGCAAAUAUUAUAAACUUGAGUAUUAGUAAUUAAUUAAUUUUAAAUUCAAAGAACCUGGCGGUACUUUAGUCUAGUUGGAGGAACCUGUUUCAUAAACGAUAAACCACGUAAAAUCUUUCUUGUUCUUGUACAGUUAGUAUACCUUCAUUACAGAUAAUUUUUAUUGAUUGAUUAUUGCAAUUAGUAUGGAAUACACGCUAAGUAAAUUAGAUCAAGGUGCUGCAAAUGAUCAAGUAGAAAUGGGUUACAAUGGUUUUUAACGUUAAGCGAAGUAUGUUUAGGAUUAAGCAUAUGAAGAUGGAUUCAAUUGUAAUUUUAACUUUAAUAAGGUAAAAUGGUAUUAGCUCUAAAGUGUGUACAUAUUGCCCGUCGCUUUCAUUA